UAAAUUGAGAGUUUGAUCCUGGCUCAGGAUGAACGCUGGCGGCGUGCCUAAUACAUGCAAGUCGAACGAAACUUCUUUAUCACCGAGUGCUUGCACUCACCGAUAAAGAGUUGAGUGGCGAACGGGUGAGUAACACGUGGGCAACCUGCCCAAAAGAGGGGGAUAACACUUGGAAACAGGUGCUAAUACCGCAUAACCAUAGUUACCGCAUGGUAACUAUGUAAAAGGUGGCUAUACUACCGCUUUUGGAUGGGCCCGCGGCGCAUUAGCUAGUUGGUAGGGUAAAGGCUUACCAAGGCAAUGAUGCGUAGCCGAAUUGAGAGGUUGAUCGGCCACAUUGGGACUGAGACACGGCCCAAACUCCUACGGGAGGCAGCAGUAGGGAAUCUUCCACAAUGGGCGAAAGCCUGAUGGAGCAACGCCGCGUGGGUGAAGAAGGUCUUCGGAUCGUAAAACCCUGUUGUUAGAGAAGAAAGUGCGUGAGAGUAACUGUUCACGUUUCGACGGUAUCUAACCAGAAAGCCACGGCUAACUACGUGCCAGCA
Molecule: ribosomal RNA, 545 nt
Filed under: Ligilactobacillus murinus
Lineage: Bacteria; Bacillati; Bacillota; Bacilli; Lactobacillales; Lactobacillaceae
Description: bacterial SSU rRNA
Rfam family: Bacterial small subunit ribosomal RNA
Source: RNAcentral